UGCCGUGAUGUCGUAAUUUGCGCCUGACUCUGCGCUCAGCGGCAGUUGCCUGCUGCCAGUGUGCUGGUGCAGACAGCUGACGAACCGUUCACGCUGAGCA
This 100-nucleotide small nucleolar RNA is filed under the name Buceros rhinoceros silvestris. Its description in RNAcentral is "Small nucleolar RNA SNORD16". It matches the Rfam family "Small nucleolar RNA SNORD16". Rfam says of the family: U16 is a member of the C/D class of snoRNA which contain the C (UGAUGA) and D (CUGA) box motifs. U81 acts as a guanine methylation guide and is found in an intron of ribosomal proteins L1 gene in animals. This snoRNA was independently named MBII-98 in mouse. Lineage: Eukaryota; Metazoa; Chordata; Aves; Bucerotiformes; Bucerotidae. The record is from Rfam by way of RNAcentral.